AUGAAGAAACAGCUUCAGAAAAGUGACUCCUUCCUGUUACUCUCUAAGUUGUAUGAUUCCAAAGUGACAACUCCAAGGUCAUUCAGACGAAGGAGCUUAAAUGUAAAAUGAAUUUAUCAGAGGGGAAGAAUCUCAUUAUCCUGCAAUUUGAUGUUAUCACCGCCUUGCUAAUGAACACGCAGUGACAGAAAAUACAACUGUUCCAGAGGGAAGAAGAAAGAACUGGAGAUUAGAAGGGAGAGGGUAGGAUUACCCUGAAGGAGGAGAGGGGUGGUGAAAGGAAAAAAAUCCUCACGUGUGGAAGAUAAUAAGAAUGGUUUCCUCCUCUGGUGUGGCCAGUUUUUACUUGUAACCCUAUGCUGUGCUCCAGAGACAUGAAGCAAAUUCACAACCUUGAUCAUUUAUUUUAAAAUGUGCAGGAAAACUGUAGUAUACUUGAUGUGGGGUAUGUUUUAUAAAUGCAGAGGAGAAACUUUUUUGUCUCAGGGUA
This 490-nucleotide long non-coding RNA is filed under the name Equus asinus (donkey). RNAcentral describes it as "lncRNA (ENSEASG00005028795.1)". The record is from RNAcentral. Lineage: Eukaryota; Metazoa; Chordata; Mammalia; Perissodactyla; Equidae.